GUCAAAAACAACAUCCCCGUGAAAGAAGAUAUAGAAGCAAUUCCCAAUGUCUUGUAUCGACCUAAAUAAGUGUCACAUAAGAACGCACCAAGCAGCGUACCAAAAUUGCAAGUACCAUUGAAGACAUUAACGAGAUUAGUAGCAUUAAUUGACUUCAUAUGGAAUACAGUGGUUAAGUAAACCAAGAGAUUCGAUGAGGUUCCAAGCGUUCCCAGCUUCUCAAAG
RNAcentral lists this unclassified non-coding RNA (225 nucleotides) under Hevea brasiliensis (rubber tree). The record is from RNAcentral. Lineage: Eukaryota; Viridiplantae; Streptophyta; Magnoliopsida; Malpighiales; Euphorbiaceae.